RNAcentral lists this ribosomal RNA (503 nucleotides) under uncultured bacterium. RNAcentral describes it as "bacterial SSU rRNA". It matches the Rfam family "Bacterial small subunit ribosomal RNA", at positions 21 to 518 of the family's 1533-position model. The record is from RNAcentral.
GGUUCAGGAUGAACGCUGGCGGCGUGCCUAAUACAUGCAAGUCGAACGAGGGUGCUUGCACCCUAGUGGCGAACGGGUGAGUAACACGUAGGUAACCUGCCCUUAAGCUUGGGAUACCCAGAGGAAACUUUGGCUAAUACCGGAUAACAACAGAAGAGGCAUCUCUUCAGUUUGAAAGGCCCUUUACGGGGUCACUUAAGGAUGGACCUGCGGCGCAUUAGCUAGUUGGUGAGAUAACAGCCCACCAAGGCGAGGAUGCGUAGCCGACCUGAGAGGGUGAUCGGCCACAUUGGAACUGAGACACGGUCCAAACUCCUACGGGAGGCAGCAGUAAGGAGUUUUCGGCAAUGGGGGAAACCCUGACCGAGCAACGCCGCGUGAGUGAUGACGGCCCUAUGGGUUGUAAAGCUCUGUUGUAAGGGACGAAUGAUUCGCUUAGGAAAUGAAGCGGAUUUGACGGUACCUUACCAGAAAGCCACGGCUAACUACGUGCCAGCCGCCGC